GGGUGAUUAGCUCAGUUGGCUAGAGCAUCUCGUUUACACCGAGGAGGUCAGAGGUUCGAGUCCUCUAUCACCCACCA
Molecule: transfer RNA, 77 nt
Filed under: Candidatus Saccharimonadota bacterium
Lineage: Bacteria; Candidatus Saccharimonadota
Also listed under: 1 other name
Description: tRNA-Val
Rfam family: tRNA
About the family: Transfer RNA (tRNA) molecules are approximately 80 nucleotides in length. Their secondary structure includes four short double-helical elements and three loops (D, anti-codon, and T loops). Further hydrogen bonds mediate the characteristic L-shaped molecular structure. tRNAs have two regions of fundamental functional importance: the anti-codon, which is responsible for specific mRNA codon recognition, and the 3' end, to which the tRNAs corresponding amino acid is attached (by aminoacyl-tRNA synthetases). tRNAs cope with the degeneracy of the genetic code in two manners: having more than one tRNA (with a specific anti-codon) for a particular amino acid; and 'wobble' base-pairing, i.e. permitting non-standard base-pairing at the 3rd anti-codon position.
Source: RNAcentral